RNAcentral lists this transfer RNA (85 nucleotides) under Prevotella sp. RNAcentral's name for it is "tRNA-Leu". It matches the Rfam family "tRNA". Rfam says of the family: Transfer RNA (tRNA) molecules are approximately 80 nucleotides in length. Their secondary structure includes four short double-helical elements and three loops (D, anti-codon, and T loops). Further hydrogen bonds mediate the characteristic L-shaped molecular structure. tRNAs have two regions of fundamental functional importance: the anti-codon, which is responsible for specific mRNA codon recognition, and the 3' end, to which the tRNAs corresponding amino acid is attached (by aminoacyl-tRNA synthetases). tRNAs cope with the degeneracy of the genetic code in two manners: having more than one tRNA (with a specific anti-codon) for a particular amino acid; and 'wobble' base-pairing, i.e. permitting non-standard base-pairing at the 3rd anti-codon position. The record is from RNAcentral. Lineage: Bacteria; Pseudomonadati; Bacteroidota; Bacteroidia; Bacteroidales; Prevotellaceae.
GCGUCUGUGGCGAAAUUGGUAGACGCGCUAGACUUAGGAUCUAGUGUCUUACGAUGUGCAGGUUCGAGUCCUGUCAGACGCACCA